GUAGGGAGCAAACGUUGUCCGGAUUUAUUGGGCGUAAAGGGCUCGUAGGCGGUUCAACAAGUCGGUCGUGAAAGCCCGGGGGGCUCAACUCCGGGGACGCCGGUCGAAACUGUUGUGACUUGAGUUCGGUAGAGGUGAGUGGAAUUCUCGGUGUAGCGGUGGAAUGCGCAGAUAUCGAGAGGAACACCAUUAGCGAAGGCGGCUCACUGGGCCGAUACUGACGCUGAGGAGCGAAAGCGUGGGGAGCAAACAGGAUUAGAUACCCUGGUAGUCCACGCCGUAAACGAUGAACACUAGGUGUAGCGGAUUUAUUCAUGUCUGCUGUGCCGUAGCUAACGCAUUAAGUGUUCCGCCUGGGGAGUACGGCCGCAAAGGCUA
Molecule: ribosomal RNA, 378 nt
Filed under: uncultured organism
Description: partial 16S ribosomal RNA
Rfam family: Bacterial small subunit ribosomal RNA
Source: RNAcentral